UACUACGGCCAUCAGGAGAGGCUGCCUACUAUCUGUCCUCUAAUCAGAUUAUUAGUUGUGGGUGUCAACAGCGCUACGUGGCCACGUUUCGAAAGUUUGUUAGGAUAUUUUAUCUAGUUGCUCAGAUGACCAAUUGGUCGGGGCAUUUAAAUCGAUCAGAUUGACCCUAGACCUCGACAGUGAUAUUCGAAGGGCCAUCAGCAACGAUCGAUUGGUGGAGGGGUGUCGACAACC
RNAcentral lists this long non-coding RNA (234 nucleotides) under Elaeis guineensis (African oil palm). RNAcentral describes it as "long non-coding RNA (EGUI_LNC044151)". Lineage: Eukaryota; Viridiplantae; Streptophyta; Magnoliopsida; Arecales; Arecaceae. The record is from RNAcentral.